UACGAGGGGUGCUAGCGUUGUCCGGAAUUACUGGGCGUAAAGGGUCCGUAGGCGUCUUGACAAGUUGAUCGUUAAAUCCACCGGCUUAACCGGUGAACUGCGGUCAAAACUUGCAGGAUAGAAUAUGUGAGAGGAAAGUAGAAUUCCUGGUGUAGCGGUGACAUGCGUAGAUAUCAGGAGGAACACCAAUGGCGAAGGCAGCUUUCUGGCACAAUAUUGACGCUGAGGGACGAAAGCGUGGGGAGCGAAC
This 250-nucleotide ribosomal RNA is filed under the name uncultured bacterium. Its description in RNAcentral is "partial 16S ribosomal RNA". It matches the Rfam family "Bacterial small subunit ribosomal RNA", at positions 524 to 773 of the family's 1533-position model. The record is from RNAcentral.